This 484-nucleotide ribosomal RNA is filed under the name uncultured bacterium. RNAcentral describes it as "partial 16S ribosomal RNA". It matches the Rfam family "Bacterial small subunit ribosomal RNA", at positions 29 to 507 of the family's 1533-position model. The record is from RNAcentral.
AUUGAACGCUGGCGGCAUGCUUUACACAUGCAGGUCGAACGGCAGCGCGGGCUUCGGCCUGGCGGCGAGUGGCGAACGGGUGAGUAAUGCAUCGGAACGUGCCCAGUAGUGGGGGAUAGCCCGGCGAAAGCCGGAUUAAUACCGCAUACGACCUGAGGGUGAAAGCGGGGGACCGAAAGGCCUCGCGCUAUUGGAGCGGCCGAUGUCGGAUUAGCUAGUUGGUGGGGUAAAGGCUUACCAAGGCGACGAUCCGUAGCUGGUCUGAGAGGACGACCAGCCACACUGGGACUGAGACAAGGCCCAGACUCCUACGGGAGGCAGCAGUGGGGAAUUUUGGACAAUGGGGGCAACCCUGAUCCAGCCAUGCCGCGUGCGGGAAGAAGGCCUUCGGGUUGUAAACCGCUUUUGUUCGGGAAGAAAUACUCUGGGCUAAUACCCCGGGGGGAUGACGGUACCGGAAGAAUAAGCACCGGCUAACUACGUG